Molecule: long non-coding RNA, 1035 nt
Filed under: Oryctolagus cuniculus (rabbit)
Lineage: Eukaryota; Metazoa; Chordata; Mammalia; Lagomorpha; Leporidae
Description: lncRNA (ENSOCUG00000038345.1)
Source: RNAcentral
UCUGCUUCUGGCUCCCGCACCACCUCGUCUUUUCCCAGCCACUUCUCAUUUAGUCUGCUACACACUUUCCCAGGGCGAAUCCCGGCUUCACCCACGCCCCCACCCACCGCUCCUACACCCGCUCGUGCCACCGCCUGCCCCAGCCGGCCGUGCUUCCUGGCAUCCUCACCCCUACCAUCGAUCCGAUCUGACCCAACACCUUCGGCCCCUCCCCUUCAAGUCCUGGUCUCAGUCUCCUCCUUGCACCCCCGCCCCCACCCCGUGCGCCCUUCCCAUCAGAACUCCCUCUUGGACCAACACCAACUGCGUGCUCUCUGGGGUCCCCGCCCCUCUUUCAAUGCCCUCAAUUUCUCGGCCACGCCUUCAUUCACUCCCCGGGUGGGUGCCGGGCCAGGCCCCCGUCCGAGGCCCCGACCCCUCUCCUCGGGGCGUCCAGGCGCGCAUGCUCCCGUGCCCACUUUCCAACCACGACUCUCAAGGACGGCCCGUCCCGCCGCCCACCCUGCUCGUGCGUCCGUGUGCACCCCCUUCCAGCAGCCCUGCGGCCCCGCCCCGCUCCGGGGUCCGAGGGAGGGGGUGGGGCGUGGGGCACGCGUGGGGUGGGCCCGCGGGGCUGGGGGAGGGGAGGGGAGGGGCGCGAGGGGCGCGAGGGGGAGGCGAGGACGUGCCUGGGGGAGGGAUCAGGCAAAAGGGACGAGAAGGGGACGGGUAGUGUCCGCGCAGCCAGCCCUCGGUUACCACAGCCUCGCGGGGCGUCAGACUCAGUCCAGAGGGGACCAAGAGAAGGGACAAACAGGCAGAGGAACGGCUGCGCUCGCGCUGGUUUUCCCGCCCCUUCUCACGGGGACCAAUGAACUUCAGCCGCCUCUCGCUGCUGUGGCGGGCGUCCAAUGCGCUUUGAGAUCCACACCGCGGCACGCCCCUUUUCUCCAGUACGAGUCUCCACGCGCCCAGCUAUCAGGCCAACCAAUAGCGCGUCGAGUUGAGCCUCGUGCCCCUUGCCCCUCCUCCCCAAGGGCUCGCUUUUCCAGAUAG